AGUGAACGCUGGCGGUGGGCCUAACACAUGCAAGUCGAACGGCAGCACAGUAAGAGCUUGCUCUUACGGGUGGCGAGUGGCGGACGGGUGAGGAAUACAUCGGAAUCUACUUUUUCGUGGGGGAUAACGUAGGGAAACUUACGCUAAUACCGCAUACGACCUACGGGUGAAAGCAGGGGAUCUUCGGACCUUGCGCGAUUGAAUGAGCCGAUGUCGGAUUAGCUAGUUGGCGGGGUAAAGGCCCACCAAGGCGACGAUCCGUAGCUGGUCUGAGAGGAUGAUCAGCCACACUGGAACUGAGACACGGUCCAGACUCCUACGGGAGGCAGCAGUGGGGAAUAUUGGACAAUGGGCGCAAGCCUGAUCCAGCCAUACCGCGUGGGUGAAGAAGGCCUUCGGGUUGUAAAGCCCUUUUGUUGGGAAAGAAAAGCAGCAGGUUAAUACCCCGCUGUCCUGACGGUACCCAAAGAAUAAGCACCGGCUAACUUCGUG
Molecule: ribosomal RNA, 492 nt
Filed under: uncultured bacterium
Lineage: Bacteria
Description: partial 16S ribosomal RNA
Rfam family: Bacterial small subunit ribosomal RNA
Source: RNAcentral